RNAcentral lists this ribosomal RNA (253 nucleotides) under uncultured bacterium. RNAcentral's name for it is "partial 16S ribosomal RNA". It matches the Rfam family "Bacterial small subunit ribosomal RNA", at positions 524 to 776 of the family's 1533-position model. The record is from RNAcentral.
UACGUAGGGUGCAAGCGUUAUCCGGAAUUAUUGGGCGUAAAGAGCUCGUAGGCGGUUUGUCGCGUCUGCUGUGAAAACUGGGGGCUCAACCCCCAGCCUGCAGUGGGUACGGGCAGACUAGAGUGCGGUAGGGGAGAUUGGAAUUCCUGGUGUAGCGGUGGAAUGCGCAGAUAUCAGGAGGAACACCGGUGGCGAAGGCGGGUCUCUGGGCCGAUACUGACGCUGAGGAGCGAAAGCAUGGGUAGCGAACAGG